GACGAACGCUGGCGGCGUGCCUAAUACAUGCAAGUCGAACGGUCUUUUCUAUGGAAGCUUGCUUCCACUGAGAAGAUAGUGGCGAACGGGUGAGUAACACGUGGGUAACCUGCCCAUAAGAGGGGGAUAACAUCCGGAAACGGGUGCUAAUACCGCAUAGUUUUCUUGAUCGCAUGAUUGAGAAAGGAAAGACGGCCUUUGUGCUGUCGCUUAUGGAUGGACCCGCGGCGUAUUAGUUAGUUGGUGAGGUAAUGGCUCACCAAGACGAUGAUACGUAGCCGACCUGAGAGGGUGAUCGGCCACAUUGGGACUGAGACACGGCCCAAACUCCUACGGGAGGCAGCAGUAGGGAAUCUUCCGCAAUGGACGAAAGUCUGACGGAGCAACGCCGCGGGAGUGAAGAAGGUUUUCGGAUCGUAAAACUCUGUU
This 429-nucleotide ribosomal RNA is filed under the name uncultured bacterium. RNAcentral describes it as "bacterial SSU rRNA". It matches the Rfam family "Bacterial small subunit ribosomal RNA", at positions 28 to 437 of the family's 1533-position model. The record is from RNAcentral.